This 253-nucleotide ribosomal RNA is filed under the name uncultured bacterium. RNAcentral's name for it is "partial 16S ribosomal RNA". It matches the Rfam family "Bacterial small subunit ribosomal RNA", at positions 524 to 776 of the family's 1533-position model. The record is from RNAcentral.
UACAGGGGGGGCAAGCGUUGUUCGGAAUUACUGGGCGUAAAGGGCCAGUAGGCGGCCAACUAAGUCCGACGUGAAAUCCCUAGGCUUAACCUGGGAACUGCGUCGGAUACUGGAUGGCUUGAAUUCGGGAGAGGGAUGCAGAAUUCCAGGUGUAGCGGUGAAAUGCGUAGAUAUCUGGAGGAACACCGGUGGCGAAGGCGGCGUCCUGGACCAACACUGACACUGAUGAGCGAAAGCCAGGGGAGCAAACGGG